This 187-nucleotide ribosomal RNA is filed under the name uncultured Actinomycetales bacterium. Its description in RNAcentral is "partial 16S ribosomal RNA". It matches the Rfam family "Bacterial small subunit ribosomal RNA", at positions 146 to 334 of the family's 1533-position model. The record is from RNAcentral. Lineage: Bacteria; Bacillati; Actinomycetota; Actinomycetes; Actinomycetales.
ACUUCAGGAAACUGGGGCUAAUACCGGAUAGGAGCUCCUGCUGCAUGGUGGGGGCUGGAAAGUUUCGGCGGUUGCGGAUGGACUCGCGGCCUAUCAGCUUGUUGGUGGGGUAGCGGCCUACCAAGGCGGCGACGGGUAGCCGGCCUGAGAGGGUGACCGGCCACAUUGGGACUGAGAUACGGCCCAG